Molecule: transfer RNA, 90 nt
Filed under: Chromobacterium violaceum
Lineage: Bacteria; Pseudomonadati; Pseudomonadota; Betaproteobacteria; Neisseriales; Chromobacteriaceae
Description: tRNA-Ser(gct)
Source: RNAcentral
CUGGUGGGUGGCGGCGGUGGACGCGGUGGUGCUGCUGCUGUCGCUGCUGGUGAUCUGGCGGGUGUCCGGCUUCAUCAGCCGGCCGCUGGU